Molecule: long non-coding RNA, 776 nt
Organism: Aethalodelphis obliquidens (Pacific white-sided dolphin)
Lineage: Eukaryota; Metazoa; Chordata; Mammalia; Artiodactyla; Delphinidae
Exons: 3
Source: RefSeq, a predicted model, not a curated record
ACGAAAAGGUGGAGGAAGGUUGAAUUGUCUCUGGCUGACUGCUGAGCUGGGACAUCCACCUUCUCCUGCCCUUCAUGUCCUUGUUCUCAGCCUGGAGUCUCUACCAUGGGCUCCCUGGCUCUCAGGCCUUCAAACUAUACCACCGGCUUUCCUUCCUGGGUCUCCAGCUCGCAGACGGCAGAUCGUGGGACUUCUGUAAUCAUUUUUUUCAAUCUAGGUUUUCAAUCCUUUGUGACACAGAAUCAAGGUACUUGGAAGAGAGUGUUGGAACCAGAGGCGAAGCUGAGUUACAUUCAGAAGAGGGAGGACUAAUGCUUACCUUACAGUCCCCCAUGAGCCACAUUUACCAGUAUUCAUGUCCCUCCCCCAGUGACUGACUUCAACUAGCAAGACAUUAGCAAGGGUGAUGCAAGGGGAGGCUUGCUAAGCUCUUGCACAAUGGGGCCUGUCCUCCUGGAAUUUUGCUCUUGUGAUGUACUCCCUUGGAACCCAGAAAUCAUACUGUGGCUGCCCAAAUUAGCAGUACGGAGAGGCCACUGGUUGGAGCACUGAGGCCCUAGCUGACACCCAAUCUGAGCUCCCAGCCAAUAGCCAGCCUCAGCUUGCCAACAAUGUAAAUGACGCAUCUUGAAAGUGGGUCCUCCAGCCUCAGUUGAGCCACAACAACUGGUGCCCAUGGAGCAGAGAAGAGCUGUCUUCACUGAGCCCUGCCUAAAUUCCAGAAUUAUGAACAAAUAAAUGUUGCUUCAAGCCCGCCAAGUUUUGGGUUAGGUUUG